GUGUCAGCCGCCGCGGUAAUACGGAGGGUGCAAACGUUGCUCGGAAUCAUUGGGCGUAAAGCGCACGUAGGCGGCCUGUUAAGUCGGAUGUGAAAGCCCCGGGCUCAACUCGGGAAGUGCAUUCGAAACUGGCAGGCUUGAAUAUGGAAGAGGGUCGCGGAAUUCCCGGUGUAGAGGUGAAAUUCGUAGAUAUCGGGAGGAACACCAGUGGCGAAGGCGGCGACCUGGGCCAAUAUUGACGCUGAGGUGCGAAAGCGUGGGGAGCAAACAGGAUUAGAUACCCUAGUAGUCC
This 292-nucleotide ribosomal RNA is filed under the name uncultured bacterium. RNAcentral describes it as "partial 16S ribosomal RNA". It matches the Rfam family "Bacterial small subunit ribosomal RNA", at positions 505 to 796 of the family's 1533-position model. The record is from RNAcentral.